UUACAUCACACUUCUCCACUAUAUAAUUGGUGAUGUUACUGCCUCCGUCCUCCAGAGGGAUGUGCCAUGACAGGGAGCAAGCAUCAGCGUCUAUAUCAGAAAUGUCAAAUGGAGGCUGAGGGGGGCCGGGGGCAUCUACAUGAACCAAGAGGAAAGAAAUAGAAUAGACGCCUUGAUGGCUCCUCUGGCAGUUCUUGAUGACCAUGGAUGAGCUAAUGGCUGUGGUCUCAAUGGUGGCUUCUUGAGAUUAUUUACAGCUGUGAUGGUAUAUAAGCCAGUGUCACUCCUGCGAGACUGCGGAAUAACUAAAGUGCAAGUAUCAUCUACCACCAGUUUGUUGACAUGGGUGUCAUAGAGAACAGGUUCUUUGUUAUCAGGCUUCUUUGGAGGAGCUUUAAACCAGGAGCAUGCAGAGAAA
Homo sapiens (human) is the source of this 418-nucleotide long non-coding RNA. Ensembl annotates it as TTN antisense RNA 1. Its record names the gene TTN-AS1. Lineage: Eukaryota; Metazoa; Chordata; Mammalia; Primates; Hominidae. The record is from Ensembl.